UACGUAGGGGGCAAGCGUUGUCCGGAUUUAUUGGGCGUAAAGAGCGUGUAGGCGGCCAUACAGGUCCGUUGUGAAAACUCGAGGCUCAACCUCGAGACGUCGAUGGAAACCGUAUGGCUAGAGUCCGGAAGAGGAGAGUGGAAUUCCUGGUGUAGCGGUGAAAUGCGUAGAGAUCAGGAAGAACAUCGGUGGCGAAGGCGCUCUGCUGGACCAUAACUGACACUCAGGGACGAAAGCUAGGGGAGCGAAUGGG
This 253-nucleotide ribosomal RNA is filed under the name uncultured bacterium. RNAcentral describes it as "partial 16S ribosomal RNA". It matches the Rfam family "Bacterial small subunit ribosomal RNA", at positions 524 to 776 of the family's 1533-position model. The record is from RNAcentral.